RNAcentral lists this ribosomal RNA (497 nucleotides) under uncultured bacterium. RNAcentral describes it as "partial 16S ribosomal RNA". It matches the Rfam family "Bacterial small subunit ribosomal RNA", at positions 28 to 507 of the family's 1533-position model. The record is from RNAcentral.
GAUGAACGCUGGCGGCGUGCCUAAUACAUGCAAGUCGAGCGAACGGACGAGAAGCUUGCUUCUCUGAUGUUAGCGGCGGACGGGUGAGUAACACGUGGAUAACCUACCUAUAAGACUGGGAUAACUUCGGGAAACCGGAGCUAAUACCGGAUGAUAUUUUGAACCGCAUGGUUCAAAAGUGAAAGACGGUCUUGCUGUCACUUAUAGAUGGAUCCGCGCUGCAUUAGCUAGUUGGUAAGGAAACGGCUUACCAAGGCAACGAUGCAUAGCCGACCUGAGAGGGUGAUCGGCCACACUGGAACUGAGACACGGUCCAGACUCCUACGGGAGGCAGCAGUAGGGAAUCUUCCGCAAAGGGCGAAAGCCUGACGGAGCAACGCCGCGUGAGUGAUGAAGGUCUUCGGAUCGUAAAACUCUGUUAUUAGGGAAGAACAUAUGUGUAAGUAACUGUGCACAUCUUGACGGUACCUAAUCAGAAAGCCACGGCUAACUACGUG